This 293-nucleotide unclassified non-coding RNA is filed under the name uncultured fungus. Its description in RNAcentral is "partial contains small subunit ribosomal RNA, internal transcribed spacer 1, and 5.8S ribosomal RNA". The stretch from base 1 to 73 matches the Rfam family "Eukaryotic small subunit ribosomal RNA", at positions 1759 to 1831 of the family's 1831-position model. Lineage: Eukaryota; Fungi. The record is from RNAcentral.
GCAAACUUGGUCAUUUAGAGGAAGUAAAAGUCGUAACAAGGUUAUCGUAGGUGAACCUGCGAUAGGAUCAUUAAUGUGUUUGGACUUCUGUCCUUCAUCCCGACGCUGUGCGCCUUUCGGGGCUGCACGCUGAAGGAGCAUAUAUCCACACCUGUGCACAUACACGGUGGUGGGGCUUGAUUGCCUCGCCGCUGCCUUCACACACGUCUUAAAAGUCUUGUAUGUUUUAUAUCAUAUUAUACACAACUUUCAGCAACGGAUCUCUUGGCUCUCGCAUCGAUGAAGAACGCAGC